AAAAUUGCUCUUCUCAAAUGCCGCUCACGGUUGCGGUGUGAAACGGCCGUAAGUCUCAUCAUACUAGUGCUGUCUUAUCUCCUGAACGCCACUUCACCUAUCAUCAGAGAUCACCUUCACUUGAGAGAGCUAAAGACGAUCACUAUAUGCCAUCUUCUCGCUAUCAGCAUUUCACUGCAUCUGAUGAGCCGUACUUCAGAGGACGAUCUCCUGUACGUUCCAGUAACAGCCAGUGCAGACCACAAGGGUGGCCCAGGUCAAGAUAUCAUCAGCAGCAAGGCUAUGAUAGACCCUUAUUCUAUGACAGUAGAGAUAGUCACUUUAGCUUGAAAUAAAUCAUGAUAUGAUAUUUCCUAAUAUUCACUGUUGUCCAUGGCAACACUGUAUAUCAGAUUAUUACCCCCUCACUGCCCAGUACGAUUAUGUGAGGUGUCCAUUUGUGUUGUUGCUCGGCCAUUUGUUUUUUUACAUUGUAAAUGACUUUUUAAAGCAAAAGCUUUAAGAUAAACACGUUAUAGCUGCUGUCAUGAUCACUGUCACACAUCAGUCUUUCUCACUUCAGUGGUUUGCACUUGCCACAAUUGAUCUGACCACAAUAAAAUCAACCUGCUAAUUUCAUGUAUUAAUUAGCUAAUUCAGUAUUGAAACCUCAAAUAUUUCAUAAAUAUUUGUGCAUUUCAAGUGAUUUCAUACAUAAAAGGUUGUACGUUUUAGAUGCUGUCAAAACAUUCUACAUUUAAAUUUUUAUACAAACAUACCAAAUAUAAUAAAGCUAGAAGUACACUUUACAUACAAAGAUCAAUGAAUGAUAAUGAGAUCACACUGGACAGAAAAUCUUUAAGAUUAAUUUUCGGUAAAUGCUACAGUCAUUCUCCUCCUGACACCUUGAGAUUGAAAUGAAAUGAUAAUAGAUGACAGACUCGUGGAACAGUGUGUCCAGCACAUAUUCAUCAUUUCUGUGAUUUAGAUUAUGUUUAUAUGUGUCAUGAUGUGUUGAAGUGAACUAACAGACGUGAUCCACAGAUCCAGCUGACACAGCAUCAGAAACUGAAGUCAGUGUGACUGCUGGAUCAUUAUUCAGAGUGAUUGUGAUCAUUGUUGAGAUGGCAGUCUUUGCUUCUCCUACUGUGAUUCUUCUUCAGAUCAUCUGUGCAAGAAGAGCUGGGAGGAAGGACUCGCAGCACCCAGAGGAAAUAGAGAUGCCUACAAUAUUACAAUAAAAUACUGCUGAGUUUGGAGACAAUCUGAAACUACUUAAAAUAAAAAAACUUACAGAGGAUUGUUCAUUAUUUGAUUUUCUUCUAAAAAAAAAACAGAGAAAAAACUCUGAAGAAAUAGUGACACCAAGUUUAGUUUUUUAUAAAUAGCAGCCGAGAAUUAUUUUCAUUCAUAUGGAUUUUAUGGAUAUUUGCAUACAGUGUUCAAGCUCAUUUUCUUUUGAUUCGUAUAUAAACUUCUAUAAAUAUUAAAUACAAUAAUGGACAGAUUUCGACAGACUGUUUGUAUAAUCCUCUCUCUGUUCUGUGUGAUGGACCUGAUGUCAUGAUCUGUUCAUUCUUUUUCUUUAGCAAUUUUAUUUUUUAAUUUUGGAUGAAUGCUACUAAUUUUCUUAAUAAAACCUCUGCUAUUGUG
Long non-coding RNA from Ctenopharyngodon idella (grass carp), 1632 nucleotides. RefSeq lists it as uncharacterized. The transcript has 3 exons. NCBI's taxonomy places the organism in Eukaryota, Metazoa, Chordata, Actinopteri, Cypriniformes, Xenocyprididae. The record is from RefSeq and is a predicted model, not a curated record.